RNAcentral lists this unclassified non-coding RNA (179 nucleotides) under rhizosphere metagenome. Its description in RNAcentral is "partial ribosomal RNA internal transcribed spacer region". The record is from RNAcentral.
GAAUAACGCUUAGGUCUUCGCUUCGGCAAGGCCUUUGCACCCCUCACAUCCAUAACACCUGUGAACCGUAAGAUGUGGUGAAUUCGUUUGCCCAUCUGCCCUUUUUAUAAACAUCAUUAGUAACAAAAGUAGUCUUAUUAUAAUCUAAUAAAACUUUCAACAACGGAUCUCUUGGCUCU